GACAGAGGUCCCGAGCGUUAGGCGGAAUCACUGGGCUUAAAGCGUGUGUAGGCGGAUUGGUAAGUACCUUGUGAAAUCCCACGGCUCAACCGUGGAACUGCUUGGUAUACUGCUUAUCUUGGGCCACUUAGGGGCUACCGGAACAAACGGUGGAGCGGUGAAAUGCGUAGAUAUCGUUUGGAACGCCAAUGGGGAAAACAGGUAGCUGGGAGUGUGCCGACGCUGAGACACGAAAGCCAGGGGAGCGAACGGG
Molecule: ribosomal RNA, 253 nt
Filed under: uncultured bacterium
Lineage: Bacteria
Description: partial 16S ribosomal RNA
Rfam family: Bacterial small subunit ribosomal RNA
Source: RNAcentral